AUUGAACGCUGGCGGAAUGCUUUACACAUGCAAGUCGAACGGUAGAGGGGGCAACCCCUUGAGAGUGGCGAACGGGUGAGUAAUAUAUCGGAACGUGCCCAGUCGUGGGGAUAACGUAGCGAAAGUUACGCUAAUACCGCAUACGAUCUACGGAUGAAAGCGGGGGACUCGCAAGAGCCUCGCGCGAUUGGAGCGGCCGAUAUCAGAUUAGCUAGUUGGUGGGGUAAAGGCCUACCAAGGCUUCGAUCAGUAGCUGGUCUGAGAGGACGACCAGCCACACUGGAACUGAGACACGGUCCAGACUCCUACGGGAGGCAGCAGUGGGGAAUUUUGGACAAUGGGCGAAAGCCUGAUCCAGCAAUGCCGCGUGAGUGAAGAAGGCCU
Molecule: ribosomal RNA, 384 nt
Filed under: uncultured bacterium
Lineage: Bacteria
Description: bacterial SSU rRNA
Rfam family: Bacterial small subunit ribosomal RNA
Source: RNAcentral